RNAcentral lists this ribosomal RNA (469 nucleotides) under uncultured bacterium. RNAcentral's name for it is "partial 16S ribosomal RNA". It matches the Rfam family "Bacterial small subunit ribosomal RNA", at positions 28 to 507 of the family's 1533-position model. The record is from RNAcentral.
GACGAACGCUGGCGGCGUGCUUAACACAUGCAAGUCGAACGGAAAGGCCCUGCUUGCAGGGUGAUCGAGUGGCGAACGGGUGAGUAACACGUGGGUGAUCUGCCCCUUACUUUGGGAUAAGCCUGGGAAACUGGGUCUAAUACUGGAUAGGACCAUGCUGUAGGUGGUGUGGUGGAAAGAUUAGUUUCGGUAAGGGAUGAGCUCGCGGCCUAUCAGCUUGUUGGUGGGGUAAUGGCCUACCAAGGCGUCGACGGGUAGCCGGCCUGAGAGGGUGGACGGCCACAUUGGGACUGAGAUACGGCCCAGACUCCUACGGGAGGCAGCAGUGGGGAAUAUUGCACAAUGGGCGCAAGCCUGAUGCAGCGACGCCGCGUGGGGGAUGACGGCCUUCGGGUUGUAAACUCCUUUCAGCCAUGACGAAGCCCUUGUGGUGACGGUAGUGGUAGAAGAAGCACCGGCUAACUACGUG